Molecule: ribosomal RNA, 331 nt
Filed under: uncultured Anaerolineaceae bacterium
Lineage: Bacteria; Bacillati; Chloroflexota; Anaerolineae; Anaerolineales; Anaerolineaceae
Description: bacterial SSU rRNA
Rfam family: Bacterial small subunit ribosomal RNA
Source: RNAcentral
UGCUGCAUGGCUGUCGUCAGCUCGUGUCGUGAGAUGUUCGGUUAAGUCCGCUAACGAGCGCAACCCUCGCUGUGUGUUACAAGUGUCACACGGAACUGCCGGUCAUAAACCGGAGGAAGGUGGGGAUGACGUCAAGUCAGCAUGGCCUUUAUAUCCUGGGCUACACACACGCUACAAUGGGAAGGGACAAUAGGUUGCGAAGCCGCGAGGCGGAGCCAAUCCAGCAAAACUUCCCUCAGUUCAGAUUGCAGGCUGCAACUCGCCUGCAUGAAGUUGGAGUUGCUAGUAAACGCAGGUCAGCCAUACUGCGUUGAAUACGUUCCCGGGCCUU